Molecule: long non-coding RNA, 547 nt
Filed under: Chinchilla lanigera (long-tailed chinchilla)
Lineage: Eukaryota; Metazoa; Chordata; Mammalia; Rodentia; Chinchillidae
Description: lncRNA (ENSCLAG00000024961.1)
Source: RNAcentral
CAUCAGCAAUUUUCAAACACAUCCCUUAUUUGCCAGGCUGUUCCCCCACCCAACAGGCCCAGCAUGGCCUGUUCCAGAACAAUGGCAGGAUACAGGGCUAUGCUUACGUGCGGGCCUUUGAGUCCGGUUAUAUGGGGCCAGGCAGAAUAGAGUUUGUCUGGGGUACACGGUGGGCCAGCAGCCUCAGCAUCGAAUGCAGGGAUCUCUGGUGUAGCCUGGGAAUUUCCAGCUGCUUUGCCAGGGAAGCCCAAAAGCCUGCCACCUCUCUGAGAGCAGGACUGACAUGAGGCCCAGGGGCAACUUGGAACACGGGUGAAGAACCUGCCAGCAGAGAACAGCAAACAAGAGGCGAUGGCUGUGUGUUCUUCCACACGGUACAUAUCCAAAACUGGACCCGGGGGCAAAAAAACAAAAGAGAGAAUUUUUUUUUUUGCAGACCUGUCACACUCUGAUCACCCUCCUAAAUGACACUAAUGACUUACAUUCCUCUUGAUAAGUAGAUAAUCCCCACAUUACAGAUGAGAAAACUGAGUCUCAGGAAGGUAAA